AGAUGACAGUGACUUCCUCCUAACCACCUUCAACCAGGAACAUUAUUGCUUGAAGCAGAAAUGUCGUCCGGAGUAUUCAGAACUAUCGCUACCCGCGUUGCUCCGGCACUGCGGAGUACGGCUGUCGUCCAGCGGGCCAACGUGUUCACCAGACCGGCCAAAGACGCCCUUGGUCCUGUUGAGACAGCCAUUGGCUUGGGCAUGUUUGCUCUAGCUAUUCUGGGACCUGCCGGCUGGAUCCUGGCUAACUUGGAGAGCUACAAGAGCAAAGAUUAAUCUGGACUGUGUGCAGAUGGAACAUCCAGCAUUGUCGUUACCAAUACAUUCAAUAUUUACAAGACAAACCCGGGACCAUCACCUCAAACUGUCAAGUUUACUUAAAUAUUGCGGAACAAACCUUUAAACUGUCCUACUACCUCUGCAGCAGUAUACUCUUCUUACUCCAACAAACCAGCUGUCAAAACCAUAAGGCGGCACUAAAAUGGCUCCUCAUAAUUGACAUCCUUCACUGAGGAUAAUGUUACUUGUGUAAUAAAACCUGAUAAUUUAAACUUUA
This is a long non-coding RNA of Hypomesus transpacificus, 556 nucleotides long. RefSeq lists it as uncharacterized. The transcript is spliced from 2 exons. Lineage: Eukaryota; Metazoa; Chordata; Actinopteri; Osmeriformes; Osmeridae. The record is from RefSeq and is a predicted model, not a curated record.